AACUUGCCUUUGCGAGGGGGAUAACCUUUGGAAACGACUGCUAAUACCGCAUAAUGUCUUCGGACCAAACGGGGCUUCGGCUCCGGCGCAAAGAGAGGCCCAAGUGAGAUUAUCUAGUUGGUAAGGUAACGGCUUACCAUGGCGACGAUCUCUAGCUGUUCUGAAAGGAAGAUCAGCCACACUGGGACUGAGACACGGCCCAUACUCCUACUGGAGGCAGCAGUGGGGAAUAUUGCACAAUGGGGGAAACCCUGAUGCACCCAUGCCGCGUGUGUGAAGAAGGCCUUCGGGUUGUAAAGCACUUUCUGUUGUGAGGAAAAGUUAGUAGUUAAUACCUGCUAGCCGUGACGUUAACAACAGAAGAAGCACCGGCUAACUCCGUGCCAGCGGCCGCGGUAAUACGGAGGGUGCGAGCGUUAAUCGGAAUUACUGGGCGUAAAGCGCACGCAGGCGGUUUGUUAAGCUAGAUGUGAAAGCCCCGGGCUCAGCCUGGGAUGGUCAUUUAGAACUGGCAUACUAUAGUCUUGGAGAGGGGAGUGGAAUUCCAGGUGUAGCGGUGAAAUGCGUAGAUAUCUGGAGGAACAUCAGUGGCGAAGGCGACUCCCUGGCC
RNAcentral lists this ribosomal RNA (610 nucleotides) under uncultured Alteromonas sp. Its description in RNAcentral is "bacterial SSU rRNA". It matches the Rfam family "Bacterial small subunit ribosomal RNA", at positions 123 to 734 of the family's 1533-position model. The record is from RNAcentral. Lineage: Bacteria; Pseudomonadati; Pseudomonadota; Gammaproteobacteria; Alteromonadales; Alteromonadaceae.